GACGAAGGGGGGCUAGCGUUGUUCGGAAUUACUGGGCGUAAAGCGCGUGUAGGCGGUUGUCCAAGUCGGGUGUGAAAGCCUUGAGCUCAACUCAAGAAAUGCACUCGAUACUGGGCGACUAGAGUGCCGGAGAGGAUAGUGGAAUUCCCAGUGUAGUGGUGAAAUACGUAGAGAUUGGGAAGAACACCAGUGGCGAAGGCGGCUAUCUGGACGGUUACUGACGCUAAGACGCGAAAGCGUGGGGAGCAAACAGG
Molecule: ribosomal RNA, 254 nt
Filed under: uncultured bacterium
Lineage: Bacteria
Description: partial 16S ribosomal RNA
Rfam family: Bacterial small subunit ribosomal RNA
Source: RNAcentral